This is a long non-coding RNA of Saccostrea cuccullata (small rock oyster), 654 nucleotides long. RefSeq lists it as uncharacterized. The record is from RefSeq and is a predicted model, not a curated record. Lineage: Eukaryota; Metazoa; Mollusca; Bivalvia; Ostreida; Ostreidae. The transcript has 3 exons.
AACAGAAAACCAAGCAGUGGAUUGUGUAUUAAAAGAAGUCAAAUAAAGAAUACACAUAUAUUGCAGAACUUGAAGGCAGUAUAAUGGAGUCCUUGUGCAUGUAAUACAAGGAGUAAGAAUUCCAAAGACCAUGACAGCAUUUCUGCCAAUUUAUCAGGCCUCCUAAAUCCUGGAUCAAGGCUUUUACUUUCAGAAAUGAAAAGAAGAAAAAAGUGUGCUGCUGCCUCUAGAAAAUGAUUUCUGCUUGGAAGUGUCCCCUGGUGACAUUGAUUGUGCUCUGGCUAGCAUAAGGAUGGUAAUAAGCUGACAACAGUAAUUGUGAGAUCUCCGAAAUACAUGUAUACCAAUUCUGAUGUAGGAGGACCUUAUCAUAGAGGAAGAGUGAACAUCAUAACAUUACCAGAUAGCCAACCUAUGUAUAAGAUAAUAAUACAUCAUACUUCCUGCAUACUUGUGUUUUAUUUGAAUGGACAGCAAGGAUUUUGGCAAUUGGUACAUGUACAACCUCUUCUCUUGCAUCGCAGGUUUAAAAUUUGCCUUUUUUCACAGGGAAAGUACCAGUAAAUGUUAAAUUUCAUAAUACAUGUGCUUUAUUUCUCAUAGGAUCUUUUUACUUUUAAAAUUUAUAUUUAGUACUUUUAUUUUCAUUAACAU